UCCCUCGUGGCGCAAUUGGCUAGCGCGUUCGACUGUUAGUCUCUAGCAAUAUGUCUGCAAUCGAGAGGUUGGUGGUUCGAGCCCACCCGAGGGAG
This 95-nucleotide transfer RNA is filed under the name Drepanopeziza brunnea f. sp. 'multigermtubi' MB_m1. RNAcentral's name for it is "Marssonina brunnea f. sp. 'multigermtubi' MB_m1 tRNA". It matches the Rfam family "tRNA". From Rfam's summary of the family: Transfer RNA (tRNA) molecules are approximately 80 nucleotides in length. Their secondary structure includes four short double-helical elements and three loops (D, anti-codon, and T loops). Further hydrogen bonds mediate the characteristic L-shaped molecular structure. tRNAs have two regions of fundamental functional importance: the anti-codon, which is responsible for specific mRNA codon recognition, and the 3' end, to which the tRNAs corresponding amino acid is attached (by aminoacyl-tRNA synthetases). tRNAs cope with the degeneracy of the genetic code in two manners: having more than one tRNA (with a specific anti-codon) for a particular amino acid; and 'wobble' base-pairing, i.e. permitting non-standard base-pairing at the 3rd anti-codon position. Lineage: Eukaryota; Fungi; Ascomycota; Leotiomycetes; Helotiales; Drepanopezizaceae. The record is from Rfam by way of RNAcentral.